GAAAAAUCCCACAAGGCCGAUCAAAACAAAACGUCAACAAUCGCUGUGUGCCUGCAGCCUCCAGCUGUCCGUAUCCAGCAGGUCCUCCGACAUCCUCAAGGGGGUGAUGCAGCACCCUUUGCACCACUACUUCCUACGGCCUUGACCCUGACUUCCUUCUUCUUCAUGGCCUACUCGUUUGACCAGAUCACUUGGUUGUCUGCUAAGGACAGCCCUCUUCAAACCGAUCCAUGGUUUCAAAUUCAAAUAGGAAAAAUCCAACAACCCCACCCACUGAGCAUCACUUGGUGACAGCGGAGAGGAAAAACUCCGUUUAACAGAUGACACCUCCAACAGACCCCGGCUCUUGGUGG
Long non-coding RNA from Monopterus albus (swamp eel), 353 nucleotides. RefSeq lists it as uncharacterized. The transcript has 3 exons. NCBI's taxonomy places the organism in Eukaryota, Metazoa, Chordata, Actinopteri, Synbranchiformes, Synbranchidae. The record is from RefSeq and is a predicted model, not a curated record.